This 1368-nucleotide ribosomal RNA is filed under the name uncultured bacterium. RNAcentral's name for it is "partial 16S ribosomal RNA". It matches the Rfam family "Bacterial small subunit ribosomal RNA", at positions 107 to 1396 of the family's 1533-position model. The record is from RNAcentral.
UGAGGUGCACGUGGAUAACCUGCCUGACUCCCCGGGAUAACAGGCCGAAAGGCCUGCUAAUACCGGGUAAGCUCACAGAGCCGCAUGGCUUUGGGAGAAAAGGCCCUGCGGGGGGUUGGGGUCAGAGGGGUCCGCGGUCCAUUAGCUAGUUGGAGGGGUAACGGCCCACCAAGGCGACGAUGGAUAGCCGGCCUGAGAGGGCGACCGGCCACACUGGGACUGAUACACGGCCCAGACUCCUACGGGAGGCAGCAGUCGGGAAUUUUGGGCAAUGGCCGAAAGGGCUGACCCAGCAACGCCGCGUGAGUGAAGAAGGCCUUCGGGUUGUAAAGCUCUGUUGCCCGUGAAGAACGGUGCUUUCAGGAAAUGGGGAGCACUUGACGGUAGCGGGUGAGGAAGCCCCGGCUAACUACGUGCCAGCAGCCGCGGUAAUACGUAGGGGGCGAGCGUUGUCCGGAUUUAUUGGGCGUAAAGGGCGUGUAGGCGGUCUGUUAAGUCAGGGGUGAAACUCCGCAGCUCAACUGCGGACCUGCCCCCGAUACUGGCGGACUUGAGUACUCUAGAGGGCAGUGGAAUUCCCGGUGUAGCAGUGAAAUGCGUAGAGAUCGGGAGGAACACCAGUGGCGAAGGCGGCUGCCUGGGGAGAAACUGACGCUGAGGCGCGAAAGCUGGGGGAGCAAACGGGAUUAGAUACCCCGGUAGUCCCAGCCGUAAACGAUGAGUGCUNAGUGGUAGGGGUAUCGACCCCUCCUGUGCCGCAGUUAACGCAAUAAGCACUCCGCCUGGGGAGUACGGCCGCAAGGUUGAAACUCAAAGGAAUUGACGGGGGCCCCGCACAGCAGCGGAUCAUGUCGUUUAAUUCAAAGCAACGCGUAGAACCUUACCAGGGCUUGACCAUGUGAGGUACCCUUCAGAGAUGAUGGGGUGCUCCUUCGGUGGCGCCUUAACACAGGUGCUGCAUGGUCAUAGUCAGCUCCUGUCGAGAGAUGCUGGGUUAAGUCCGGCAAAGAGCGCAACCCCUAUCGUAUGUUGCCAGCAGGUAGAGCUGGGCACUCACGCGAGANUGCCGGCGACAAACCGGAGGAAGGUGGGGAUGAUGUCAAAUCAUCAUGCCCNUUAUAUCCUGGCCGACACACGUGCUACAAUGGGUGCGACCCCCAAUUGUCCGUGCACACCGCGAGUUUAGCGUGUACGGACAAUUGGGGGUCGAACAAAGCGAACCGAAACCGCGAGGUGGAGGAAACCGCAAAAGGCGCUUGUAGUUCAGAUCGCCGCCCGCAACUCGCCUGCGUGAAGCUGGAGUUGCUAGUAAUCGCUGAUCAGCACGCACGCGGUGAAUACGUUCCCGGGCGUUGUACACACCGCCCG